UGAAUAUUUUCCAGGGCUGAACUCCUCCUGUAGCCUCUCCACUUAGGAGAGCUGAUAUUUCUUGUGGUGUAAGGCUGCAGAGCUCAGUUUAAUUAGUACUCGUGGGGUGGUUACAAAUCGUAAACCUCAGUUGCAUCUUGAGUGGGAGAACAGACUUAAAAUCUUACUUUUCCUGUGAAUUUAUGUUGUGCAAUCACACAUUCCUUCCCUAAAGCUCUCCCAGGCAGGGUAUUUUUCCUUUCUUGUGUCUAACAGUGUCACCAUUAUCAUCAACCUGCAAAGAAGAAGUGCCAAAGGUUCAUUAAUUUUAAAACCCAAGUGCAGGCGUGGUCGGGGGUGCACAAGCUGCCAGAAGGGGCGGCCAGGUGAGCGUGGAGGCACAGCAGAGCUUGUUAUCAGAAUCCCAGGACUUCUGAUAACAAUCUGGCCAGAGCUCUCUGGGAGCAGAUGUUUCACUGCCUUCCCUCAGAGCACUGCAGCUGCAGCGGCUCCUUGGAGGAACAGGGAAAGCCAAGGUUGAAGGCAGUGAUGUCUGAAAGCAAACCCCCAACAGCACCUGCUGGAAAUUGGGCAGGGCUGACUGAAAGGAGCAGAAUCAUCUCUGGUGGUGUUUAAAUGCAGCUGUUGCUGUGACACCAUCCCAAACCUGUGUUCCUUUGAUCCAGCCUGUGUGUGUCCCGUGCCCUUCCCUGGGAACAGAGCUGUGGUGGGUGGGCUGGAGCAUGGAGGGAAGAGGGAUUUUAAGUCACUUCUGUAGCCUAAAUCCCUAUUUUCCUUUCUGAUCCCUUGUGAUGCUACUCCAAUAUCCAUCCCCUGAGGAAAGGCUGGAACCAAAAGACGGAGCUGCUUAAGGUUGGAACCCAAAAUGGUGGAGCUGUUCCAGCAUGAAAAGCACGGCGCUAAAUCCAUGGGAAGGGGUGGAAGUUGAGUGUGGCACCGUCUCUGCUGAACUACAGAAACUUUCUGCAAUGAAUUGCUCAAUCACUUCAUUUGGAAGAAGAGCAACUGCUAUCAGCUCUAAUUGGCUCACAGAACCCAGGGUGGAGUGGCCCUGUGGGAGCAGCAGCUGCUGCCUCAGUCGGAGAUGUCUUCAUGACUUGCGGGGCAAGUUUGUCAGAGCUCUCCUUUCACAGCUAAAGGUUAAUAAAGGCUCAUGUGGCUGUGCAGAACCACUGGAAGGACAAUCAUGGCACAGACUCUGAGGAAUGGAUCUGGUAACAGUGCUUGCCAGAGGAGGUGUCCAUCCAAAUCAUUCCUGCUUCUUCUCCAGGAGAUCGGAAUCUAAGUCAGGGAUUUAAUGUGCAGUUUAACCUGCAGUUCUUUGUCCAGGUCUCACUGUGUCCAGCACCCAAAUGGAAGAAUCCCUUCCCUAUCUCAAACUCCUCUGGGGCUUUGUGCAGCAUCUCCUUCCCAGCUGGAUUCCCUGGUGAGAGCUGUGCUCCCAAACUGGCACCAUAACCACUUGGCAAUACCAGCAGAAUUGCAUCUGAGCUUCAACCUCAGACCUCCGAGAGCCUCGUACUCAACAUGUUGAACCUGAUCUGACACCAGAGUUGACAGAGAGGGCCUGAUGGGGUUUGAAUGCUCUUAAAACCACACUAAUGCCUCCUAAGAGGGGGAUUAAAUGUUGGGGAUGAGACAGAGCCAGCUCCCCUGCUGUGUGAUCCCACAGACCUUCUCUGGGUGAGCACCUUUGGAGUUAAUCCAAAUAUUCAUGCCUGGAACACAGAUCAACAGGAGGGCUUUUCAUCACAGACUAUGGGAAAAACAGAGGUUCUCCUGGCACCUACUGCUUCUAAACCAGAGUUGUCAUGAUUUGCUUUACAAAGGUAAUGCAGAUGGUUUUAGAUAUGGAUUCAAUUUUCAAGUGCCCCCGAGCUUUAAGCAUCCACUUCAGUAAUCCCUUAUUGGAAUUUGGGUGGACUUUUUACAGUCUGAAUUAAAAGCCUUGUUAAAUCUAAUUGAAUUUCUUCCAUGAUUUAAUGUGGAAAUGGUGAAGAACAGAUAAUUGUGUGUUAGUUAAAGAAAUCUAUAUGAUGAGUUAAAUAUCUAUGACUUCUGGGAAGGCCUGAAAUUCCCUCACUAAAUCUUUCUCCUGGCAUUGAAACCACCUGAAUAUUUUUCCAACAUUGAAGUGUUUUGCUUCCCAACGCCCCUGGGGAAUGGAGAAACCAAGUGGGUAACACCCAUUUUGUGCUUCUCUUUCCAAAAGUGUCCUUGGGCAGUUGAUGCUGGACCCAAGUGCUCUGCAAAUCUCUCCUCUCAUGGUUUCCCCAGUGACACUUCUGGGCUUUUUUUGGGAGACUUUGGAGGAGUUGUCUUGGUUCCUGAGGGAUGGGCAGGGAUCCAGACCUCUGAGACUGUGCCAUGAGAUUAUAUCUCCUGCAAGGCUGUUUGGGAGCACUUCUACUUGCUGCAGACAGGUUUAAUUUAAUUUAAAUAAAAGGAAUAAAUCCCCCAGGAAUAAAGUGCUGUUAGUUCCUUGUGAAAGCUUAGGAUUAUCACCCAUCUCUGUUAUUUCUCCUGUGUAAUUCCUGCAUUUUUGGUGUUUCUGUACAUUUCUUCCAGUCCUCUCUGCUGAGGCAUUUCUUCCAAAACUCCUCUCUCAGCAGAGUGUUAUUUAUGAUGCUCUAAAGGUGUUUUGCUGUGGACAACUCGUUCUUAAAUGUUAAUGCAAAUAAAUUGAAAUCUUUGGUUGCAAAGGCCCUGCACUGGAGGGUUGUUAUAACACAUCAUAAAAACCUCUUUUCCAAAGCUCUCCUGGAGGUGUAAAUAAAGCAGGAGGCAUUUCAGGCAGCACUGCUGGGGAUUCUGCCCACAUCCAGAGAGCAGUUAUUAACUAGAGAACCACGAUCUGACCCUGGGACUCGGAGUGAGGGUUCAGGACGAGCCCUGUCCCUCCUCAGCCUGGCUGUGCAGAGCUCCACUCUUCUCUCAGCCUGAUUAGGUGCUGCCUCCAUGCUCAUUAUCCAGAGAGUUCUGAGAAAUGCCUCGUGAAGGGUUCAGCUCUGGUUUCAGUGUGUAAUAAAGGGCUAAUCACCUGUUUAAGAUG
This is a long non-coding RNA of Parus major (Great Tit), 3052 nucleotides long. RefSeq lists it as uncharacterized. The record is from RefSeq and is a predicted model, not a curated record. The transcript is spliced from 6 exons. NCBI's taxonomy places the organism in Eukaryota, Metazoa, Chordata, Aves, Passeriformes, Paridae.